GAUGAACGCUGGCGGCGUGCAUAACACAUUCAAGUCGAACGAGGUAGCAAUACCGAGUGGCGGACGGGUGAGUAACGCGUGAGCAACCUGCCCUUGUGUGGGGGAUACCGUCUGGAAACGACUGCUAAUACCGCAUAAUGUUUCCGGUCCGCAUGGACUGGAAACCAAAGCUUUAUGUGCUGAAAGAUGGCCUCGCGUCUGAUUAGAUAGUUGGUGGGGUAACGGCCUACCAAGUCAACGAUCAGUAGCCGGUCUGAGAGGAUGAACGGCCACAUUGGGACUGAGAUACGGCCCAG
This 296-nucleotide ribosomal RNA is filed under the name uncultured bacterium. RNAcentral's name for it is "partial 16S ribosomal RNA". It matches the Rfam family "Bacterial small subunit ribosomal RNA", at positions 28 to 334 of the family's 1533-position model. The record is from RNAcentral.